Molecule: long non-coding RNA, 264 nt
Filed under: Carica papaya (papaya)
Lineage: Eukaryota; Viridiplantae; Streptophyta; Magnoliopsida; Brassicales; Caricaceae
Description: long non-coding RNA (CPAP_LNC002821)
Source: RNAcentral
CCUGACUACUUUCCUAAUUGGAAUUAUUCCAAGAAAUGAGCCAAGUUUGUCAAAGCCAGAAGACUUAAGGCCCAAAUACAAUUAAUGGACUUGAAGAAUUAUAAGAAAGCCCAUGCUCGAGCAAGGAGGUCCACAUAUGUGCUGGAUAUGCGGCCCAGCCUGCACGGACAACAAAAACGCACGCGUGCCCACACGCCCCGUGCAUAACCCAUGGCCCGGGAUUCCCACUCGAUUACCCAUGUAGACAAGCCCGCAGACAAGCCU